GUGCCAGCAGCCGCGGUAAUACCGGCAGCUCGAGUGAUGUCCCAUAUUAUUGGGCCUAAAGCGUCCGUAGCUGGCCGCGCAAGUCCGUCGGGAAAUCCACAUGCCCAACAGGUGGGCGUCCGGCGGAAACUGUGUGGCUUGGGAUCGGAAGGCUCGAAGGGUACGUUCGGGGUAGGAGUGAAAUCCCAUAAUCCCGCACGGACCACCGAUGGCGAAAGCACUUCGAGAAAACGGAUCCGACAGUGAGGGACGAAAGCCAGGGUCUCCAACCGGAUUAGAAACCCGGGUAGUCC
This 293-nucleotide ribosomal RNA is filed under the name uncultured bacterium. RNAcentral's name for it is "partial 16S ribosomal RNA". It matches the Rfam family "Archaeal small subunit ribosomal RNA", at positions 455 to 747 of the family's 1478-position model. The record is from RNAcentral.